AGGUACAACAACAAUAACAACACUGAAUCUGUUUGGCUGGCUGUGUUGUACUUUUCCCUUCCUCUCUUCUGUGAACCUCAAAAUUGGCUAAACAUCUCACCUGGCAUGAAGCCCUCCAGUCAGUCUUAGUUUUGUGGACAAACAAUCAACAACAUCAUGGGAACAGAUGGAGAGAUGAAGAGGAGAAACUGCUACCUCCCUGGAGUGAUUAUUUUCUGGCUGUAAGAUUUAUAUUAACUGAUUAAGAAUGUAGGCAAGCUCUGAUACUUUCUGUAAGAAGGUGUUUAUAUAAUAUAUACAGUAUAUACAGAA
Hemibagrus wyckioides is the source of this 312-nucleotide long non-coding RNA. RefSeq lists it as uncharacterized. NCBI's taxonomy places the organism in Eukaryota, Metazoa, Chordata, Actinopteri, Siluriformes, Bagridae. The transcript has 2 exons. The record is from RefSeq and is a predicted model, not a curated record.